This 496-nucleotide ribosomal RNA is filed under the name uncultured bacterium. Its description in RNAcentral is "partial 16S ribosomal RNA". It matches the Rfam family "Bacterial small subunit ribosomal RNA", at positions 30 to 523 of the family's 1533-position model. The record is from RNAcentral.
AUUGAACGCUGGCGGAAUGCUUUACACAUGCAAGUCGAACGGUAGAGGGGGCAACCCCUCGAGAGUGGCGAACGGGUGAGUAAUAUAUCGGAACGUGCCCAGUCGUGGGGGAUAACGUAGCGAAAGUUACGCUAAUACCGCAGACGAACUAAGGAUGAAAGCGGGGGAUCGCAAGACCUCGCGCGAUUGGAGCGGCUGAUAUCAGAUUAGGUAGUUGGUGGGGUAAAGGGUCACCAAGCCAACGAUCUGUAGCUGGUCUGAGAGGACGACCAGCCACACUGGAACUGAGACACGGUCCAGACUCCUACGGGAGGCAGCAGUGGGGAAUUUUGGACAAUGGACGCAAGUCUGAUCCAGCUAUUCCGCGUGCAGGAUGAAGGCCCUCGGUUUGUAAACUGCUUUUGUACGGAACGAAAAGGUCUCUCUUAAUACGGGGGGCUCAUGACGGUACCGUAAGAAUAAGCACCGGCUAACUACGUGCCAGCCGCCGCGGUAA